Molecule: unclassified non-coding RNA, 399 nt
Filed under: soil metagenome
Description: partial contains 5.8S ribosomal RNA, internal transcribed spacer 2, and large subunit ribosomal RNA
Rfam family: 5.8S ribosomal RNA (bases 1-120)
Source: RNAcentral
GAUGAAGAACGCAGCGAAAUGCGAUACUUGGUGUGAAUUGCAGAAUCCCGUGAACCAUCGAGUCUUUGAACGCAAGUUGCGCCCGAAGCCUCGGCUAAGGGCACGUCUGCCUGGGCGUCACGCAUCGCGUCUCCCCCAAACCGCCAAGGCGGAGGGGAAGGAAGAUGGCUUCCCGUGCCUCACCCGGCGCGGUUGGCCUAAAUUUGGAGCCCGCGGCACUUAGCUCUCGUGGCGAUAGGUGGUGAACAAGGCCUUGGCCGUGCAAACAACCCGCUGAGAAUCUCUAUGUCACGUGCGCUCGUCGGACCCUUUGAAGUUGCCUUCGGUGACUUAAAACCUUUGCGACCCCAGGUCAGGCGGGGCUACCCGCUGAAUUUAAGCAUAUCAAUAAGCGGAGGA